This is a non-coding RNA of Meleagris gallopavo (turkey), 191 nucleotides long. The record is from RefSeq and is a predicted model, not a curated record. Lineage: Eukaryota; Metazoa; Chordata; Aves; Galliformes; Phasianidae.
CUGCAGCCUCACCCAGCUCCCAGAGCACAGAGGAAGAUGAAGGCAGCUGCGCUCAGCCUCGUGAUGCUCCUCGCUGCCCUGUGCUGCACAGUGGAAGCUCAGCCAUCUGUGCAAUUGCCGGACUCGGAAGUUCUUGUGAAACCACCACCUGACGUCCUUGAAAUUCCUGGUCCUGUAAGUUGAGGGAUGAG